UCCUCACAGCAACUCAGAAAGAUAUAUUGUCCUUCCAGUCCUGAGCAUCUGCCGGACCUACUUUGGAACAUCACCUUUUUCUAUUCUCAGACGGCCCUAUCAGUCUAAAUUACUCGAUGUGCUGCUACACUUGACACCCUACAAUAGAUACCGGAAUCAAUCCACCAGACUUUUGUGUGCAAUUAUACUAGUUGGGGAAUCUUAUUCAUGAUUUUUGGAGUAGAAUAUUUUGACCUGAUUGGAAGAUUUCACUCGCUGUCACUGUAAAACUUUAAAGCCGUCAUUUCUUCCUCAUAAGAGGUAGAUACAUAACCUGAUAAACACCUAUCAUUUUCUUUCUAAUGGACUACUCACUUCUUAGUAAUUCUUGUCAAAGUUUAUGUUCAUUUUCAGUUGCAUUGCAAAAACUGACUAGCUUUUGACCCGAACAAAUAUAUACCACUUGUGUUCCACUAUGAAAGGUCUCGCUAGAAUAAAAAUGUACGCAGAACUUAUCACUACUCCAAUGAUAGGUUUUCUUACUAGAAGAUUACAACCGUUUAACUUGGAGAAUGGAGAAGAAGAUUCUCUUGGCUGGAGCAUCUGAAACUCAGAAUUGGAUACAAACUGGAGAAAGGUAGAAAAGUUGAAAGAUGCUCCUCUUUAAGAUUGUCUGAAGAGCCAAGAAUGGAAUAAGGAAUACAUGCAAUUUUGUCUCCUUCCAUAUCUUUGGUACUUAUUCAGCUUCGAUGGAAUUUAAAAAUCAUGGAAUGAGGGCCCCAAAUAAAUCUGUAAUUAUUCUUCAACUGGAAUAAGGAAGCUUGCCCUUUGUUGAAGUUAAUGCCUGGCCCUACAAUCUACAGAGGGAAAAGAAAAAUGGUUGUACUUGCUCCAUACUUGCAUUUGAUGUAAAGUAUGAUUAGUCAGUGGCUUUGAGAUGACCAAUUUGCCUUUCACUUGACCUGAGCAAUUGAGCCCUUGGUUGGGUUUGCAGAUUCACUUGCAUGAAUCUAAACAUCUUUCUUUGUAUACUUCAAACUGUUUUGAUGUUCUCUGCUUUCUUUAAAGCUUGCAAGUAGUUAAGCAUGUGUCUUUAAAUACACAUAGAUGUUAUUCUGUGUAUGGUUUUACAAGUUUUCUAUUAAAUGUUCUAAUAUAUAUAUGCUGGUAUUGCUUAAUAUUUCAUGGCUAUCAUGCAGGUUUUGAUCUCUUGUUAAUUUUAUUAUCUAUUCGAAGCAGCAAGCUUUUUUGCAUGGUAUAAUUAUUUCAUUUUCAGCUAUAGCACCUUAUUCCCUUAUGAUCUAUUUAGAAUAUGAAAUAUAAAAUCCAAAGAUAUGAUAAACAGAUGAAACAGCAUAAAAUAAUAUGACAGAAAAAAGGUAUUAGUUCUGCCAAGUCACUGUUAUUCUAAGAAUGGUAGAUAUUAGAGCUGAAUUAAACUAGGAUAUAUGAGAGCUACAGGUGCCGGUGUUUGGUAGCUAAGUUUGGACUUGUUCUGAGAUUAUGAACAUAAGUGAGAGGCGAUAUCUUCAUAAACUGUUUUUAGCUUCCAACUGCAAUAUGUAAAUUAACAAUUAAGUAUGACAUGUUAAAAUUUUUAUACCAUUUCAAGAAUCUGUUUGGUGCCUCUUGAUGAGUAUGAUUCACAAACACAAAAUACGAAAAAAAUAAGAAUAAAAACCUUAAUAGUUUGCUGGCCCUUGGAUGAGAAAAUUUUGCACCAGAACAGGGUUAUAUGUCUUGCAGUUUAUAAUAUAGACGUUACUGUACAUACAUCUUCUCUGUUAUUUCUUAUCAGUAUCAUAGCUUAUGCCAUUUUCUGGAUGCUAAUUGAUGCAGAAGCAAUCUGCGCUAGAACGUUCAAUAUGAAUAGCAAUUACAUGACUUAUAAUAUAUGUACCGGUUAACCAACUCCAAAUUUCCGGAUUCUAUUUCAUAUGCUCAUUUAUUGCGAUGCUAAAAUUUUGGGUAAUGCGGUUUCUGAACUGUAAUAUGGUUUUGUAACUUUUGUUGUGUUACAGAGAGAGCUGACAUGUUACUACUAUAAGUUUCAGUUGUGGUGCUAUGAAGGACUCAAUUAUAUUUCCAGUAAUGGACCAGAUGAAACUUAAAAAAGUAACAAGAAUGGCAUUUUACAUUGGCCUGUCAAUCAUUAGUGAAAAUGUUUGUCAGUGCCAGAUGCUCAUUGGUUUGUGAUCUAUUGACCACAUCUGACAAGGAUCGGCGGGAAAAUAAAGAAAUAAAUGACCACGGAAUGAUAUUCUCUUUAGGAAAGUUGGGAGAGAUUCUAAGUGGACUGUGCUCUGGGAUUUAUAUUACACAGCCUACACUGCACAUAAUAUUAAUCAUUGGUACAUCUGGACAACAUCAUCCACCCUGGGGACAAUGUGUGCAAUGCAUCUUAACCGGAGCAAACUAUUUAAUUUGGCAAUCAUCCAUGUCUUGAAAAGUUGAACCUUCUGUAGUGGAAACUGAAAUUCACUGCAACAAACUAAAGGUGCCAGCUGUAACUUAGCCUCUCUAUUUUCGUCUCAACGGUGACAACUACGGAUAAAAGCUAUGUUGCAGUUUUAGUUUUAACUAGGACUCAAAGCCAUAUAACCAACCAAAACCUGACCAUAUUUUCGUUUAUAUUGAGCAGUAUCUUCUUUAUUAGACAUAUUUACACAUAUUCACAGAACAUGUUUUAACUAAUAUAUUAUAAUAAUAAUAUUUUUUUUAUUUUUUUAUAAUUAAUAGCAUGGGAGAUGUUCUUAUUUUGUGAGCAUCCAGAGAGGCACUACUUGGCAUUUGCCAGCGUUUGAACAUAUGAUUUGUAUAACUAGCUCCGGAAGCAAUGCAGUUU
Long non-coding RNA from Daucus carota subsp. sativus, 2824 nucleotides. RefSeq lists it as uncharacterized. The record is from RefSeq and is a predicted model, not a curated record. The transcript is spliced from 3 exons. NCBI's taxonomy places the organism in Eukaryota, Viridiplantae, Streptophyta, Magnoliopsida, Apiales, Apiaceae.